This is a non-coding RNA of Phrynosoma platyrhinos (Desert horned lizard), 71 nucleotides long. Lineage: Eukaryota; Metazoa; Chordata; Lepidosauria; Squamata; Phrynosomatidae. The record is from the annotation of a GenBank genome assembly.
GCCAGUGGCAUAGUGGUUUGGGUUUUGGAUCAGGAAUCUGGGAAACCAGGGUUCAAAUCCCUGCUCAGUCA